This 385-nucleotide ribosomal RNA is filed under the name Pseudocalanus sp. Its description in RNAcentral is "partial small subunit ribosomal RNA". It matches the Rfam family "Eukaryotic small subunit ribosomal RNA", at positions 582 to 975 of the family's 1831-position model. The record is from RNAcentral. Lineage: Eukaryota; Metazoa; Arthropoda; Copepoda; Calanoida; Clausocalanidae.
AUUCCAGCUCCAAUAGCGUAUAUUAAAGUUGUUGUGGUUAAAAAGCUCGUAGUUGGAUCUCGGCGGUCUGAGGGCGGUGGUCUUCAGAGAUCUACUGCCCUAUAGACCGUAGUUUUGCCAGAGGUCUCAGGGUGCUCUUAACCGAGUGUCUUGCGAUGCUGGCAGGUUUACUUUGAAAAAAUUAGAGUGCUCAAAGCAGGCUUUUACGCCUGAAUAUUCGUGCAUGGAAUAAUAGAAUAGGACUGGUUCCAUUUUAUUGGUUAUUGGGCUAGUAAUGAUUAAUAGGGACAGUUGGGGGCAUUAGUAUUUAAUUGUCAGAGGUGAAAUUCUUGGAUUUAUGAAAGAUGAACUCAUGCGAAAGCAUUUACCAAGGAUGUUUUCAUUG